Molecule: ribosomal RNA, 430 nt
Filed under: uncultured bacterium
Lineage: Bacteria
Description: bacterial SSU rRNA
Rfam family: Bacterial small subunit ribosomal RNA
Source: RNAcentral
UGGGGAAUUUUGGACAAUGGGCGCAAGCCUGAUCCAGCCAUGCCGCGUGAGUGAAGAAGGCCUUCGGGUUGUAAAGCUCUUUCGGACGGAAAGAAAUCGCGCAGGCUAAUACCCUGCGCGGAUGACGGUACCGUCAUAAGAAGCACCGGCUAACUACGUGCCAGCAGCCGCGGUAAUACGUAGGGUGCGAGCGUUAAUCGGAAUUACUGGGCGUAAAGCGUGCGCAGGCGGUUGAUUAAGACAGGCGUGAAAUCCCCGGGCUUAACCUGGGAACUGCGCUUGUGACUGGUCAGCUAGAGUACGGCAGAGGGGGGUGGAAUUCCACGUGUAGCAGUGAAAUGCGUAGAGAUGUGGAGGAACACCGAUGGCGAAGGCAGCCCCCUGGGCCGAUACUGACGCUCAUGCACGAAAGCGUGGGUAGCAAACAGGA